RNAcentral lists this ribosomal RNA (253 nucleotides) under uncultured bacterium. RNAcentral describes it as "partial 16S ribosomal RNA". It matches the Rfam family "Bacterial small subunit ribosomal RNA", at positions 524 to 776 of the family's 1533-position model. The record is from RNAcentral.
CACGUAGGAGGCGAGCGUUAUCCGGAUUUACUGGGUGUAAAGCGCGUGCAGGCGGUUCAGAAAGUUGGAUGUGAAAGCUCCUGGCUUAACUGGGAGAGGUCGUUCAAUACUUCUGGACUCGAGUAUGGGAGAGGGAGGUGGAAUUCUGGGUGUAGUGGUGAAAUGCGUAGAUAUCCGGAGGAACACCAGUGGCGAAAGCGGCCUCCUGGUCCAUUACUGACGCUCAGACGCGAAAGCUAGGGUAGCAAACGGG